UACCAUUGCAUCUUCCCAUGUCCAACAUCGUCCAACUUUAUCUAUUGAUGUGUCAUUAACCAGAAAGCUAUGGCAAAAUGACACAGUUUCACAUACCCAAUUGUAUCAAUAUAUGGUGGAACAAAGCUUGUCAGCCCACUAUAGCAUGUGUAAUCUGAAUAUUUCGCGUCUUCUUUCCCAAAUAACUUAGAUCGUACUUUUGACCAUAUUCCAUCUGCCCCAACUAAAACAUCACCAUCAUAUUGCCUACCAUCCUCAAGGAUCACUGUGACCUUGGUAGAAUCUUCCAUGAAAUCAACAACUUUAGAUUUAUUUCUUACUAUGUCUAAACCCACCGCUUUAAGUAAUAUGUCCUGUAGUGCCAUUCUACAUAUUACUCUAGUGACAGGAAGCCCUUUUUUCAAAGCAGGAGUUGAAAGAUCAAACUUAGUAAACC
RNAcentral lists this unclassified non-coding RNA (436 nucleotides) under Hevea brasiliensis (rubber tree). Lineage: Eukaryota; Viridiplantae; Streptophyta; Magnoliopsida; Malpighiales; Euphorbiaceae. The record is from RNAcentral.